Molecule: unclassified non-coding RNA, 219 nt
Filed under: Hevea brasiliensis (rubber tree)
Lineage: Eukaryota; Viridiplantae; Streptophyta; Magnoliopsida; Malpighiales; Euphorbiaceae
Source: RNAcentral
UGCAUGGUAAAGUGGAGAGGGGGAUAGACAUUUAUGACAUUCUCUUAAACUUCAAAUAUUUGAGGUAUACCUUAUUCUGAAAUCCCAAAAAAUUCUAAAUGGAACUUUUGCACUUUGACACCACCAAAACCUCAGGUUCACUAACACUUGAGGAAGUAUAGCUCCACAGGAAAGGAAAAACAUAUUUGCAUUUUUGACGCAGACAAUAAGGGAACUCCA